UACGUAGGUGGCAAGCGUUAUCCGGAUUUAUUGGGUGUAAAGGGCGUGUAGGCGGGAGCGCAAGUCAGAUGUGAAAACUCAGGGCUCAACCCUGAGCCUGCAUUUGAAACUGUGUUUCUUGAGUGCUGGAGAGGCAAUCGGAAUUCCGUGUGUAGCGGUGAAAUGCGUAGAUAUACGGAGGAACACCAGUGGCGAAGGCGGAUUGCUGGACAGUAACUGACGCUGGGGCGCGAAAGCGUGGGGAGCAAACAGG
RNAcentral lists this ribosomal RNA (253 nucleotides) under uncultured bacterium. RNAcentral's name for it is "partial 16S ribosomal RNA". It matches the Rfam family "Bacterial small subunit ribosomal RNA", at positions 524 to 776 of the family's 1533-position model. The record is from RNAcentral.